CCUACGAGCGGCAGCAGUGGGGAAUAUUGGACAAUGGGGGCAACCCUGAUCCAGCCAUGCCGCGUGUGUGAAGAAGGCCCUCGGGUUGUAAAGCACUUUCAGUGAGGAAGAACGCCUGGUGGUUAAUACCCAUCAGGAAAGACAUCACUCACAGAAGAAGCACCGGCUAACUCCGUGCCAGCAGCCGCGGUAAUACGGAGGGUGCGAGCGUUAAUCGGAAUUACUGGGCGUAAAGCGCGCGUAGGUGGCUUGAUAAGCCGGUUGUGAAAGCCCCGGGCUCAACCUGGGAACGGCAUCCGGAACUGUCAAGCUAGAGUGCAGGAGAGGAAGGUAGAAUUCCCGGUGUAGCGGUGAAAUGCGUAGAGAUCGGGAGGAAUACCAGUGGCGAAGGCGGCCUUCUGGACUGACACUGACACUGAGGUGCGAAAGCGUGGGUAGCAAACAGGAUUAGAUACCCCUGUAGUC
Molecule: ribosomal RNA, 465 nt
Filed under: Vreelandella stevensii
Lineage: Bacteria; Pseudomonadati; Pseudomonadota; Gammaproteobacteria; Oceanospirillales; Halomonadaceae
Description: partial 16S ribosomal RNA
Rfam family: Bacterial small subunit ribosomal RNA
Source: RNAcentral